AGUGAACGCUGGCGGUAGGCCUAAUACAUGCAAGUCGAACGGCCGCAUAGUAAGCGCUCUCCUUUACGGGUGGCGACUGACGGAUGGGUGAGACAUACAUAGCCAUCUUCUUUUACUUGGGGGAUACCGUAGGGCCACUUCCGCUACUACCGCAUAUGUCCUACGGGUUAAUGCUGGAGUUCUUCGGACCUUUCCUGUCUCUUUGAGAUGAUGUCGGAUUAGCUAGUUGGCGGGGUAAAGGCCCACCAAGGCGACGAUCCGUAGCUGAGCUGAGAGGAUGAUCAGCCACACUGGAACUGAGACACGGUCCAGACUCCUACGGGAGGCAGCAGUGGGGAAUAUUGGACAAUGGGCGCAAGCCUGAUCCAGCCAUACCGCGUGAGUGAAGAAGGCCUUCGGGUUGUAAAGCCCUGUUAUUAGGAAAGAAAAGCAGCAGGUGAAAACCCCGCUGUUCUGACGGUACCCAAAGAGUAAGCACCGGCUAACUUCGUG
This 492-nucleotide ribosomal RNA is filed under the name uncultured bacterium. RNAcentral describes it as "partial 16S ribosomal RNA". It matches the Rfam family "Bacterial small subunit ribosomal RNA", at positions 29 to 507 of the family's 1533-position model. The record is from RNAcentral.